AUUGAACGCUGGCGGCAGGCCUAACACAUGCAAGUCGAGCGGAUGAAGGGAGCUUGCUCCCGGAUUCAGCGGCGGACGGGUGAGUAAUGCCUAGGAAUCUGCCUGGUAGUGGGGGAUAACGUCCGGAAACGGGCGCUAAUACCGCAUACGUCCUGAGGGAGAAAGUGGGGGAUCUUCGGACCUCACGCUAUCAGAUGAGCCUAGGUCGGAUUAGCUAGUUGGUGGGGUAAAGGCCUACCAAGGCGACGAUCCGUAACUGGUCUGAGAGGAUGAUCAGUCACCCUGGAAGUGAGACACGGCCCAGACUCCUACGGGAGGCAGCAGUGGGGAAUAUUGGACGAUGGGCGAAAGCCUGAUCCAGCCAUGCCGCGUGUGUGAAGAAGGUCUUCGGAUUGUAAAGCACUUUAAGUUGGGAGGAAGGGCAGUAAGUUAAUACCUUGCUGUUUUGACGUUACCAACAGAAUAAGCACCGGCUAACUUCGUG
RNAcentral lists this ribosomal RNA (484 nucleotides) under uncultured bacterium. RNAcentral's name for it is "partial 16S ribosomal RNA". It matches the Rfam family "Bacterial small subunit ribosomal RNA", at positions 30 to 507 of the family's 1533-position model. The record is from RNAcentral.